Molecule: non-coding RNA, 209 nt
Organism: Xyrichtys novacula (pearly razorfish)
Lineage: Eukaryota; Metazoa; Chordata; Actinopteri; Labriformes; Labridae
Source: the annotation of a GenBank genome assembly
AUAGAUGUGCUGUGUUGUUGCUGUAUGGUAAUUCCUCUGUGGAUUGGUCCUCUGCUUUGUGCUACAGUCAAAUCUCCCAACAAUAUAUACAUAUACACAAACCAAUUUACAUAGUUCGGGAAUAUAUUGUUGAGAGAUUUAACUGUAGGACAAAUCAGUGGACCAAUCCACAGAGGAAUUACCAUACAGCAACAACACAGCACAUCCAU